Molecule: ribosomal RNA, 254 nt
Filed under: uncultured bacterium
Lineage: Bacteria
Description: partial 16S ribosomal RNA
Rfam family: Bacterial small subunit ribosomal RNA
Source: RNAcentral
UACGAAGGGUGUAAACGUUGCCCGGAUUUAUUGGGCGUAAAGUGUUUCGUAGGCGUCCCAUCGCAUCUGGUUUUAAAGCCCAAGGCUCAACCUUGGAAAAGGACCAGAGAUGGAUGGGAUUGAAGGAUGUCGGGGUUACUGGAACUGUCGGUGUAGGGGUGAAAUCCGUUGAUAUCGAUAGGAACUCCGAAGGCGAAGGCGAGUAACUAGGCAUUAUUUGACGCUGAUGAACGAAAGCUAGGGGAGCGAAAGGG